RNAcentral lists this ribosomal RNA (229 nucleotides) under uncultured bacterium. RNAcentral's name for it is "partial 16S ribosomal RNA". It matches the Rfam family "Bacterial small subunit ribosomal RNA", at positions 568 to 796 of the family's 1533-position model. The record is from RNAcentral.
UGCGCAGGCGGGCUCGUAAGUCAGUGGUGAAAUACUGCCGCUCAACGGUAGAACUGCCAUUGAUACUGCAAGUCUUGAAUAUGGUUGAGGUAGGCGGAAUGUGUCGUGUAGCGGUGAAAUGCAUAGAUAUGACACAGAACGCCAAUUGCGAAGGCAGCUUACUAAGCCAUUAUUGACGCUGAGGCACGAAAGCGUGGGGAGCGAACAGGAUUAGAUACCCUGGUAGUCC